Non-coding RNA from Bactrocera oleae (olive fruit fly), 665 nucleotides. Lineage: Eukaryota; Metazoa; Arthropoda; Insecta; Diptera; Tephritidae. The record is from RefSeq and is a predicted model, not a curated record.
CAUCAAAUCAGCUAUUUUUUUUACGUCGUUGCCUUAAAAGUUUAUUUAAUUAAUAUUGCUGCUCGCUACAAGAUAAUUUUAAACACAUUUUUUCAAAUUUUAAGAUGGACGAUUGACUGGACUAUCGCACCCGGAUAUAAUGCUUAUGUACAUGGGUUGACAAGACCUCGUUAGCGACAACAGGGAUCAAGCUUUGCAGGCAAUCCCCAAGUAACCAAAUCGGAAAAGCAAAACAAGCAAAGAAAUACUCAAAAUAUCUGGACAUUACAUGCGUUUAUUUCAAUUAAAUAUUAAUUUGUUUUGCUGUAUGACUGUGAGACUUAGAAUGUCCGCACUUGUGAUUUAGAACGAUUGCAAUCCUUCACCAAUCAUUGUCUUCGCAGAGUGCUAAGUAUAUAUUUUAACACCAAUCAAGCACUAUGGAGCCGCAUACAACAAAAUCCAUUGCGCAACGAAAUUCUUAAGGGCAAGUGGGCGUAGAUUGGAGACACCUUAUGCUAACGGUAUUGCAAAAAGCAGGUGGUGACUUUAGACCAACAGAAAAAAGUGGAGUAGAAAUUCCUAUAACAGGAAUGGUCGGCCAAAUAUCUUCAAAUGAAAACCUAUAGGUUCUCUGACUUUAAAAUUUGUUAACCACCAAUUGUGAAUAUUUUAAAUUAAAUACU